ACGUUAGAUUAGCCAUGCAUGUCUCAGUAUAAGCUUCUAUACUGCAAAACUGCAAAUGGUUCAUUAAUCCAUUUAUAUUUUACUUGGUGGUCCACACUUACAUGGAUAACCGUGGUAAUUCUGAAGCUAAUACAUGCUCCCUAACCGACUUUUUGGAGGGUUGUGUUUAUUAUUUAAAAACCAACCCACGCUCCGCCUGGCCUUGAGGUGAUUCAUAGUAACCGAACGAAUCGCAUGGCUAUGCCGGCGAUAGACCAUUUUCGUUUCUGACCUAUCAGCUAUCGUCGGUAGGGUAUUGGCCUACCUUGGCAAUGACGGGUAACGGAGAAUUAUGAUUCCAUUCAGGAAAGGGAACCUGAGAAACGGCUACCCCAUCUAAGGAAGGCGCCCGGCGCGCAAAUUACCCUGUCCUGGCACAGGGAGGAAGUGACAAGAAAUAGCAAUACCAGGCAUACAUGUCUUGUAAUUGGAAUGACUAAACUUAUAAUCACUUUACGAUU
This 500-nucleotide ribosomal RNA is filed under the name uncultured eukaryote. RNAcentral's name for it is "SSU rRNA". It matches the Rfam family "Eukaryotic small subunit ribosomal RNA", at positions 36 to 542 of the family's 1831-position model. The record is from RNAcentral.